Molecule: transfer RNA, 69 nt
Filed under: Ochthebius sculptoides
Lineage: Eukaryota; Metazoa; Arthropoda; Insecta; Coleoptera; Hydraenidae
Description: tRNA-Gln
Source: RNAcentral
UAGUUCUUAGUAUAAGAUGUACAAAAGUUUUUGAUACUUUAAGAAAUAGUUUAAUUCUGUUGGAACUAA